GUCGAACGGUGCUUUCGGGCACAGUGGCGGACGGGUGAGUAACGCGUGAGAAUCUGGCUCUAGGUCUGGGACAACCACUGGAAACGGUGGCUAAUACCGGAUGUGCCGAGAGGUGAAAGGUUAACUGCCUAGAGAUGAGCUCGCGUCUGAUUAGCUAGUUGGAAGUGUAAUGGACUCCCAAGGCGACGAUCAGUAGCUGGUCUGAGAGGACGAUCAGCCACACUGGGACUGAGACACGGCCCAGACUCCUACGGGAGGCAGCAGUGGGGAAUUUUCCGCAAUGGGCGAAAGCCUGACGGAGCAAUACCGCGUGAGGGAGGAAGGCUCUUGGGUCGUAAACCUCUUUUCUCAGGGAAGAACAAAAUGACGGUACCUGAGGAAUAAGCAUCGGCUAACUCCGUGCCAGCAGCCGCGGUAAUACGGAGGAUGCAAGCGUUAUCCGGAAUGAUUGGGCGUAAAGCGUCCGCAGGUGGCUAUGUAAGUCUGCUGUUAAAGAGUCUAGCUCAACUAGAUAAGAGCAGUGGAAACUACAAGGCUAGAGUACGUUCGGGGCAGAGGGAAUUCCUGGUGUAGCGGUGAAAUGCGUAGAGAUCAGGAAGAACACCGGUGGCGAAGGCGCUCUGCUAGGCCGUAACUGACACUGAGGGACGAAAGCUAGGGGAGCGAAUGGGAUUAGAUACCCCAGUAGUCCUAGCCGUAAACGAUGGAUACUAGGCGUG
Molecule: ribosomal RNA, 719 nt
Filed under: Nostoc sp. 'Peltigera sp. K25 cyanobiont'
Lineage: Bacteria; Bacillati; Cyanobacteriota; Cyanophyceae; Nostocales; Nostocaceae
Description: bacterial SSU rRNA
Rfam family: Bacterial small subunit ribosomal RNA
Source: RNAcentral